RNAcentral lists this ribosomal RNA (494 nucleotides) under uncultured bacterium. RNAcentral describes it as "partial 16S ribosomal RNA". It matches the Rfam family "Bacterial small subunit ribosomal RNA", at positions 28 to 507 of the family's 1533-position model. The record is from RNAcentral.
GACGAACGCUGGCGGCGUGCUUAACACAUGCAAGUCGAACGGAAAGGCCUGCUUUCCCUUGUGGAUUGCGGGUACUCGAGUGGCGAACGGGUGAGUAACACGUGAGUGAUCUGCCCCCAACUUGGGUAUAAGCCUGGGAAACUGGGUCUAAUUCCCGAUAGGACUGCAGGGUGGUGCCUGUGGUGGAAAACGAUUUUCUAGUGGUUGGGGAUGAGCUCGCGGCCUAUAAGCUGGUUGGUGGGGUAAUGGCCUACCAAGGCGGCGACGGGUAGCCGGCCUGGGGGGGUGGACGGCGACAUUGGGACUGAGAUACGGCCCAGACUCCUACGGGAGGCAGCAGUGGGGAAUAGAGCACAAUGGGCGGAAGCCUGAUGCAGCGACGCCGCGUGGGGGAUGACGGCCUUCGGGUUGUAAACUCCUUUCGACCGCGAGGAAGCCACCUGGUUGGAAGGGUGGUGACGGUAGUGGUAGAAGAAGCACCGGCUAACUACGUG